RNAcentral lists this ribosomal RNA (335 nucleotides) under uncultured bacterium. Its description in RNAcentral is "bacterial SSU rRNA". It matches the Rfam family "Bacterial small subunit ribosomal RNA", at positions 18 to 344 of the family's 1533-position model. The record is from RNAcentral.
CAUGGCUCAGGAUGAACGCUAGCGGCAGGCCUAACACAUGCAAGUCGAGGGGCAGCAUGGUCUUAGCUUGCUAAGACUGAUGGCGACCGGCGCACGGGUGCGUAACGCGUAUGCAACUUGCCUCACAGAGGGGGAUAACCCGUCGAAAGACGGACUAAUACCGCGUACACUCCAGUCUGGGCAUCCAGGUUAGAGGAAAUGAAUUUCGCUGUGAGAUAGGCAUGCGUCCCAUUAGCUAGUUGGUGAGGUAACGGCUCACCAAGGCGACGAUGGGUAGGGGAACUGAGAGGUUGAACCCCCACACUGGUACUGAGACACGGACCAGACUCCUACGG